CCCUUAGAUGUUCUGGGCCGCACGCGUGCUACACUGAGUGGAUCAGCGGGUCAGGUUGCGCGAAAGCGUUUCCUAAUCUUUAAAUCCGCUCGUGAUGGGGAUUGACGGUUGCAAUUUUCUGUCAUGAACGAGGAAUACCUUGUAAGCGCGGGUCAUCAUCCCGCGCUGAAUACGUCCCCGCCCUUUGUACACACCGCCCGUCGCUCCUACCGAUUGAGUGGUCCGGUGAGGCUUUGGGAUCUGAGCGGAAAGAGCGUUUCGCUGUUUCUGCUCGGAAAACUCAGUCGAACCUUAUCAUUUAGAGGAAGGAGAAGUCGUAACA
This 322-nucleotide ribosomal RNA is filed under the name uncultured eukaryote. Its description in RNAcentral is "partial 18S ribosomal RNA". It matches the Rfam family "Eukaryotic small subunit ribosomal RNA", at positions 1470 to 1796 of the family's 1831-position model. The record is from RNAcentral.